This 83-nucleotide transfer RNA is filed under the name Solirubrobacteraceae bacterium. RNAcentral's name for it is "tRNA-Leu". It matches the Rfam family "tRNA". From Rfam's summary of the family: Transfer RNA (tRNA) molecules are approximately 80 nucleotides in length. Their secondary structure includes four short double-helical elements and three loops (D, anti-codon, and T loops). Lineage: Bacteria; Bacillati; Actinomycetota; Thermoleophilia; Solirubrobacterales; Solirubrobacteraceae. The record is from RNAcentral. RNAcentral also lists the same sequence under 2 other names.
GCGGGCGUGGUGAAACGGUAGACACGCCGGCUUUAGGUGCCGGUGGGCGAAAGCUCGUGUGGGUUCGACUCCCUCCGCCCGCA